This 355-nucleotide ribosomal RNA is filed under the name Drosera ordensis. Its description in RNAcentral is "eukaryotic LSU rRNA". The stretch from base 1 to 94 matches the Rfam family "5.8S ribosomal RNA", at positions 64 to 154 of the family's 154-position model. The record is from RNAcentral. Lineage: Eukaryota; Viridiplantae; Streptophyta; Magnoliopsida; Caryophyllales; Droseraceae.
GGUGUGAAUUGCAGAAUCCCGUGAACCAUCGAGUCUUUGAACGCAAGUUGCGCCCGAGGCCAUUACGGUCGAGGGCACGUCUGUCUGGGCGUCGCACGUUGCGUCACCUGCCGCCAUCGUCCUUGGUCGAGGCGCAGGUGGAUAUGGCCUCCCGUGCCUCGUUUUGGUUCGCGGUUGGCCAAAAUGUGAAGUUGGGGCGACGGAAGCCGUGACAACGGGUGGUUAGCGAGCCUCCAAGGGCACGCCGCUACGUCGACUUGUCGCGUUUCUUCUGUCGUACUUGCUUGCUUCUUAGCCAUAUUCAUGUCUCGCACAUGCGUUGGUUUUCGGCGACCCCAGAUCAGGCGGGAUCCCC